GUGGGAAUCUGCCCUUUGGUUCGGAAUAACAGUUGGAAACGACUGCUAAUACCGGAUGAUGACGUAAGUCCAAAGAUUUAUCGCCAGAGGAUGAGCCCGCGUAGGAUUAGCUAGUUGGUGUGGUAAGAGCGCACCAAGGCGACGAUCCUUAGCUGGUCUGAGAGGAUGAUCAGCCACACUGGGACUGAGACACGGCCCAGACUCCUACGGGAGGCAGCAGUGGGGAAUAUUGGACAAUGGGCGAAAGCCUGAUCCAGCAAUGCCGCGUGAGUGAUGAAGGCCUUAGGGUUGUAAAGCUCUUUUACCCGGGAUGAUAAUGACAGUACCGGGAGAAUAAGCUCCGGCUAACUCCGUGCCAGCAGCCGCGGUAAUACGGAGGGAGCUAGCGUUGUUC
RNAcentral lists this ribosomal RNA (394 nucleotides) under Sphingomonas sp. F159. RNAcentral describes it as "bacterial SSU rRNA". It matches the Rfam family "Bacterial small subunit ribosomal RNA", at positions 117 to 546 of the family's 1533-position model. The record is from RNAcentral. Lineage: Bacteria; Pseudomonadati; Pseudomonadota; Alphaproteobacteria; Sphingomonadales; Sphingomonadaceae.